UGGGGAAUAUUGCACAAUGGGCGCAAGCCUGAUGCAGCCAUGCCGCGUGUAUGAAGAAGGCAUUCGGGUUGUAAAGUACUUUCAGUCGGGAGGAAGGUGGUAAGGUUAAUAACCUUGGCAAUUGACGUUACCGACAGAAGAAGCACCGGCUAACUCCGUGCCAGCAGCCGCGGUAAUACGGAGGGUGCAAGCGUUAAUCGGAAUUACUGGGCGUAAAGCGCACGCAGGCGGUUGAUUGAGUCAGAUGUGAAAUCCCCGGGCUUAACCCGGGAAUUGCAUCUGAUACUGGUCAGCUAGAGUCUUGUAGAGGGGGGUAGGAUUCCAUGUGUAGCGGUGAAAUGCGUAGGGAUGUGGAGGAAUACCGGUGGCGAAGGCGGCCCCCUGGACAAAGACUGACGCUCAGGUGCGAAAGCGUGGGGAGCAAACAGG
RNAcentral lists this ribosomal RNA (429 nucleotides) under Chloroflexota bacterium. Its description in RNAcentral is "Chloroflexi bacterium partial 16S ribosomal RNA". It matches the Rfam family "Bacterial small subunit ribosomal RNA", at positions 355 to 776 of the family's 1533-position model. Lineage: Bacteria; Bacillati; Chloroflexota. The record is from RNAcentral.